CUCUGAUUUUAUACAUGAAGAUAUCUAUGGGUGAAAUACGCAAAUAUUCUUGAGCAAAUAUCGAGGCAAUUAUAAAAGAAAUAAUGAAAAAAAAUGAAUUCAAGUGAUCGCAUAAAAUGGAUAUUGUUGGUAUGUAUUCAGAUAUAAUAUAUUUCGUUAUAUCAAACCGUACAGUUAAUCUCAGCUAUUAAAUAUCCGCUAAAUGUGGAUGUCAUAUGGGCUAUAAAAUUGGUUUAUUUAAUACGUAAUUGUCUUGACAGGCAUUUUUUUAAACAGUUCCCAAGACAGGUUCAUUAUUUUGGAGAGCACAAUUGUUUGUAUAACAGAGCACCCUGCCAACAAAAAUGUAAACGCGACAGGGGCACUAUGAAUUUAUUAUAUAAACGGUACCCCUCGCCCAAUCAAGAUUAUUAAUUAACGAAGGAACACAACGCCAAAUUUCGGCUUGAGUUAAUGUAUGAAAGCGUUGAGAAGUAGUACUAGUAUAUCAUGUAUUUCACAUCAAAGCAUAAAAUUCAACAUAUUUUUUAUAUUAUUUUAAUUUUAGGUUAUUUGGACUGGAAUCAAUGCUCUCAUGUUUGGCCUCACUUUUGAAAAUUAUAAUUCAAGCAAAGAGUACUAUUAUCUCAGAGUUUUAACAAAGGUACCCUUCAUGUUUUGCUCGCUACUCUGGUUUAAAUAAAUGAUUACAAAGCCCAGUCGAAUUGUAAUCAGGACCCAACGUUUCGACACUCCAGUCUAUAAACUUCCAGUAUUUGCUCGCAGCUUUUCACUUACAAUUUGUAUUUUGUAAUUCUAGUGCAUACUAAUUAGAUUUACUAAUUGGCAAAAAUCACCA
Molecule: long non-coding RNA, 838 nt
Filed under: Paramuricea clavata
Lineage: Eukaryota; Metazoa; Cnidaria; Anthozoa; Malacalcyonacea; Plexauridae
Source: RNAcentral